This 253-nucleotide ribosomal RNA is filed under the name uncultured bacterium. RNAcentral describes it as "partial 16S ribosomal RNA". It matches the Rfam family "Bacterial small subunit ribosomal RNA", at positions 524 to 776 of the family's 1533-position model. The record is from RNAcentral.
UACGUAGGGCGCGAGCGUUGUCCGGAUUUAUUGGGCGUAAAGAGCUCGUAGGCGGUUCGUCGCGUCGGCUGUGAAAUCCCGAGGCUCAACCUCGGGUCUGCAGUCGAUACGGGCGAACUGGAGUUCGGCAGGGGAGACUGGAAUUCCUGGUGUAGCGGUGAAAUGCGCAGAUAUCAGGAGGAACACCGGUGGCGAAGGCGGGUCUCUGGGCCGAUACUGACGCUGAGGAGCGAAAGCGUGGGGAGCGAACAGG